RNAcentral lists this ribosomal RNA (68 nucleotides) under Kytococcus schroeteri. RNAcentral's name for it is "partial 23S ribosomal RNA". The record is from RNAcentral. Lineage: Bacteria; Bacillati; Actinomycetota; Actinomycetes; Micrococcales; Kytococcaceae.
UGGGGUUGUGUUGUGCGGUGCUGCCAUGCCGUGCCCUGGUGUCAUGUGUUAGCGGAAGUGGUUUGGAA